GAUGAAGAACGCAGCGAAAUGCGAUAAGUAAUGUGAAUUGCAGAAUUCAGUGAAUCAUCGAAUCUUUGAACGCACAUUGCGCUCGCCAGUAUUCUGGCGGGCAUGCCUGUUCGAGCGUCAUUUCAACCAUCAAGCCCCCGGGCUUGUGUUGGGGACCUGCGGCUGCCGCAGGCCCUGAAAACCAGUGGCGGGCUCGCUAGUCACUCCGAGCGUAGUAGUUACAUCUCGCUCAGGGCGUGCUGCGGGUUCCGGCCGUUAAAAGCCUUUUACCCCAAGGUUGACCUCGGAUCAGGUAGGAAGACCCGCUGAACUUAAGCAUAUCAAUAAGCGGAGGA
Molecule: unclassified non-coding RNA, 335 nt
Filed under: soil metagenome
Description: partial contains 5.8S ribosomal RNA, internal transcribed spacer 2, and large subunit ribosomal RNA
Rfam family: 5.8S ribosomal RNA (bases 1-120)
Source: RNAcentral